Molecule: ribosomal RNA, 253 nt
Filed under: uncultured bacterium
Lineage: Bacteria
Description: partial 16S ribosomal RNA
Rfam family: Bacterial small subunit ribosomal RNA
Source: RNAcentral
GACGGAGGAGGCAAGCGUUGCUCGGAAUCAUUGGGCUUAAAGCGCGCGUAGGCGGCCUUGUAAGUGUCUUGUGAAAUCCCACGGCUCACCCGCGGAACUGCAGGGCAAACUGCAAGACUUGAGGUCGGUAGAGGCGCCUGGAACUCUAGGUGGAGCGGUGAAAUGCGUAGAUAUCUAGGGGAACGCCGGAGGCGAAAGCGGGGCGCUGGGCCGAUUCUGACGCUGAUGCGCGAAAGCGUGGGGAGCAAACAGG